ACACGUAGGGGCCUGACGUUGUUCGGAAUCAUUGGGCGUAAAGGGCGCGCAGGCGGCCGUCCAAGUCCGGUGUUAAAUGGUCGGGCUCAACCCGAUCAUGCGCUGGAAACUGGGCGGCUGGAGUCCCGGAGGGGAUGCCGGAAUUCCAGGGGUAGGGGUGAAAUCUGUAGAUAUCUGGAAGAACACCGAUGGCGAAGGCAGGCAUCUGGCCGGAGACUGACGCUGAGGCGCGAAGGCGCGGGGAGCGAACAGGUUUAGAUACCCUGGUAGUCCGCGCAGUAAACGAUGCGCACCAGGUGUCGGGCGGCAGCGCCCGGUACCGGAGCUAACGCGAUGAGUGCGCCGCCUGGGGAGUAUGCCCGCAAGGGUGAAACUCAAAUGAAUUGGCGGGG
RNAcentral lists this ribosomal RNA (392 nucleotides) under uncultured bacterium. RNAcentral's name for it is "partial 16S ribosomal RNA". It matches the Rfam family "Bacterial small subunit ribosomal RNA", at positions 523 to 918 of the family's 1533-position model. The record is from RNAcentral.